UAGUCCACGCCGUAAACGAUGUCAACUAGGUGUAGGGGGUGUUGAUCCCUUCUGUGCCGCAGCUAACGCAUUAAGUUGACCGCCUGGGGAGUACGGUCGCAAGAUUAAAACUCAAAGAAAUUGACGGGGGCCCGCACAAGCGGUGGAGUAUGUGGUUUAAUUCGAUGCAACGCGAAGAACCUUACCUGGUCUUGACAUCUUCAGGACCGCCCCCGAAACGGGGCUUCUCUUCGGAGCCUGUCUACAGGUGCUGCAUGGCUGUCGUCAGCUCGUGCCGUGAGGUGUUCGGUUAAGUCCGGCAACGAGCGCAACCCGCGUCGCCAGUUACCAGCGAGUAAUGUCGGGGACUCUGGCGAGACUGCCCGUGUCAAACGGGAGGAAGGCGCGGACGACGUCAAGUCCGUAUGGCCCUUACAUCCGGGGCUGCACACGUGCUACAAUGGCCGGUACAGUGGGAUGCGAUGCCGCGAGGCGGAGCGAAUCCUCAAAGCCGGUCCCAGUCCGGAUUGGAGU
Molecule: ribosomal RNA, 513 nt
Filed under: uncultured bacterium
Lineage: Bacteria
Description: bacterial SSU rRNA
Rfam family: Bacterial small subunit ribosomal RNA
Source: RNAcentral